Rattus norvegicus (Norway rat) is the source of this 2798-nucleotide non-coding RNA. Lineage: Eukaryota; Metazoa; Chordata; Mammalia; Rodentia; Muridae. The record is from RefSeq and is a predicted model, not a curated record.
UGGUACCUGUAAGACGAGGAAUGUCAGGUAUAGGGUGUAAUCUAUAUAUCUGGGCAGCCCGAUCCCUGUUGAACAAAACAGAGAUGAAGACACAAGGCAGGGCCUUGAGCCCCAUCCGGACAAGACUGUUUCCUCUCCUCGCUGAGAUACUCGGCAGAGGUCCAGUUGCCUUGGCCAUAAAGAGUUUUCGUUGAGUUUGCUCCGGGGCCUUAGCUAAGUGAUCUUGGGUAUGUACCUUUAUUUUUCUAUGCAGAGAUGGCCUCUUCUAAUCACAGCACUGGGUUCACUGGGUAAACUUGUGAAACCCUCAGCACACGGCUAAGAGGCAGAAGCUUGCGAGUUAAUAGGAUCAUCACACCUCUUCCAGAGAGGGUAUAAAAUGAAGAUUAAAUCCUGCGUAGAGUCAGGCAUGAUGGCACACACCCUCAAUUCUAGCACUUGGGAAGUGGAGGGAGGAAGAUCAGGAGUUCAAGAUCAGCUUUAGCUAUAAAAGGAGUUUGGGACUAGCCUGGUCUUCAUAGUGAGUUUUAGGAUAGCCAGAGCUACAUAGUGGUACCCCGUCUCAAAGACAAGCCAACAAACAAAUACUGAGCGCAGUAGAACGUGCCUCUAGUCCCAGGGCUUGGAAGGCUGAAGCAGGAGAAUUAGCCUGCAUUUGAGGUUAGCCUAGACUACUACAGAGACCCAGUCUUAAAAAUAAAACAACAAACAAAAAACUCAGCAGCAAAACAGCCCUGGGGAUUUAAAUGGGGACUGAAAGAGAAGCCAAUGGGCAGCCCCUGCAGUGGUUCUGAGGUGGAGGCUCUGAAGUGGUAGGUUGGCCUGCUCUGCUGCAUCCUAGAGCAUGCCUUGUCGUCAUAAAAAUGGCAUCCUGCCUGGAAUUAUAGUCUGAGUGUCUGUGUGCAGCAUCUCAUACAUGUCUCCGACUCUCUGAGGGGAGCGUUAGAAUACCCACUCUAUAGUUGAGCAAAAUAGAGCCCAGCCAGGGCAAGGGCUCUCCCUGCUGAGUGCACUCUGCAGUGUGCCACCUGGGUCUCCUUCCUUUUCUCAGUGGCUGUGAGUGUUACACGUUGGAGGCUUUUAGCUUAAGCUAGUCAGAUGGGAACAUAUCUUGCCCAGUCUCACAUCUGCUUAUGGGGAACGGCUCACUGACUGAUUAAUACCUAGGACAGAGACCUGGCCCCUUGGUCUCUAUUUCAUAAAACACUACAGGGCCAGCCGAACCCCAACAGACCUAUAUAGCACGAGCCCCACCCCUACCAUGCAUCACAACCACCCUCUCCCUCUGACAAACCCUCUUUCUCCCCCGCCACCCCCAAACCUACCACUGAAGCCCCACCACAUAGAAACCCCCACCCGAAUGUGUCCAGAGACCCUGUCUUAGAUGCAGACAGGUAGUGAAGUUAAUUUCCUUACUUCAAACUGUACAUAUUAGUAAAACAGAUGACAGAAAGGUCAAGGCCAAGAUGGGGUGAGCUGUAAGGAAGAGUUUACUCAUUCCCUUUCUGGAGCAUAGCCAGGAACAGGAGUCAUCAGCCGCUCUCUCUACCUGUGACCUGGUUCUCCCUGUUAAGCGUGCAGACCUGAGCACAGCUGAGGUAUGCCUGCCUGCUGAUUAGGGAGUCAAACCUACCCCACGGGCACUGAUGACACAGCUGCGGCCAUCCCCUGGGAAUGAGGAGUCUGAACUACGUGCAGUGAAAAGCCCUUGAUGGAGAGACGCAGAGGGGCUGGUGUGGGAGCCAGCAGAGCCUUUCUGUGAGGAUCAACGAAUGGCUGGCGGAGAUGGAUAACAGCCCCUCUCCCUUUGCAGGAGGAGUCGGGUGGGAAAAGAGAUCUGGGAAACCAAACCACUGGCCUCAACCCAGACUGCGUUGGAAUGCUGUUACCAUGGCAACUGCACCAGAUUCUAUUUCACAUUUGUCCAAGACAAAUGAGGUAUGGAGGAGGGGAUUGCCUAACUUGGGGAGUCUCUGUGCUCAGAUCAUGCAAAAGCAAGACAAAAUGCUCUAAGGCACGGAGUUCAAGCAGACCUGGAGCAGAGGGCACCUUACCACGUCAGACUUGGUGGUGAAUCUGUAGGUCUGAAGGCUCUCCAGUGCCAUCCACUUGACAGAGCUGGGGACCGAACCCAGGGCCUUGCGCUUCCUAGGUCCCAAUCUAUCCCCCACACCUUUGCCAAUGACUUGGUCAGUAUGGAUGACCACUUGCUCAUGGGGAAUCAGUACAUCCUUGACCUCGGCUAGGAGCAUCUUGUCCAGAUCCUGGAGCCGGAUAGAGUCUGUCCGCAGCAGCGGGACACUUGUCCCAUCCUGACCCUCUGAAGAUUCUUCAUGGUUUGGAGACCAGUGCGAUGGCCAGCCCAGCCACGAGCAGGAUCAAGGCCAGAAGAGCAAUAAGAAGUGUCCUCUGUGAAGCCCUGCCUGGGCCUGACCGAACAACCUGGCCCAGGAUGUGACACCCACCAUCUACACAGACCUGAAAGUAGAUGGCAGUUUAAGCCCAGACUGCAGACCCUCAGCUCAUGGUUUCCGGAGAGGGUCAGCUAUGUCACCUACCUGCAACGGGACACCAUCCUUGCCAAGUUGCAGGGAAGGUGGCAGAGGGCAGAUCACCACAUCCCCCCGGAGCUCAUGUUGGCAGACCUCACCACCCACGGUCACGUUCACCGUCACACAGUCCGCCACAGCGCCCAGCCCAAUAUACUGCAGAGAUAGACCGAGGGAUCAGAGGCUGGGCUCUACCUCCUAAUCUUCCGCGGUACCCUUCCCUAUUCUUUAAACCUACCUCGACCUUAA